UAUUUCUCAGAAGUGGGGUGGAAAAGACGGCCUCUCUCAUUGGCCGAUUCGUAAGGGACUGUUCGGUCAUUUGUUGCCAUAACAACCCAUUCAGGGAGGCCAGUGGGCCCGGGGGAGGCUAUUCCCGAGGCCCAACCCAACCGAUUUAAGGCUAGCUCUCAGCGGCCGGCUCUUCGACCCUCCCUCCGCAUCGCUCCGGCCGCUGAGGCGCUCUGUCAAUCACCAGCCCUUCCGGCAGCCAGGCGGCCGCAGCGGAAAGCCAGGGCUGAACCCAGAAGGGGCGCUUGGCGCGCCCCGCCUACCCCUGGCGCGUCCUGCGACUCAGGUGCUCCCGAGAGCCUGGGCGGGCCCCGCUGUCGCGGCCGACCGUCCCCUCCCAGAGCCGAGGGCCAGAGGGAAACGCCGGCUUCACCCGGAAGCUCGGGAAGAGCUAGACUCGGCCCCGGCGCGCCGCUUUCCACUGCCACAGACAAAAAACACCUCAGUUGACUGUCUAGAGUUGAAGCCCUUGAUUUAGAAGGUGUGUGUGAGAGAGAGAGAGAGAGAGGAAAAGAGGAAGGCUUUUCUAUGAGGCAUGUGGAGGAGAUAUUUGGGAACCCAGUCCUGAGUUCUAGGAAAGCUUUCUCACUACAGCCUCACCCAGCCCCGAGCCGAUAGCCCCUUCGAAACACCCCUAGGGUUCGCAGUUUGGGUCACCUAAGAAAUACUACAUAAAUACUUGAAAGAAUCUUUUCCCAGGUUUCUAAAGUCCUAUUUGGAGGCUGGAAAUGACGCAAAACACAGAGCAUUCAAGUGCGGAGGAGCUGCCACAGAACACAAAUGGAGACAUGGAUUCAGUCCUAUCUCGGAAGACCCCACAUGCCAAGGAGCAACUAGACCCAUGGGCCACAAGUACUGAACCUGCAAUUUAGAGCCCUCGAGCUGCAAUUUCAGUAUCCCACACACCUAGAGUCCUUGCUUCCCAGCAAGAGAAGCUACUGCAAAGAGAAGCCCGCACACCGCAACUGGAGAGUAGCCCCUGCUCUGCCCAUAACUAGAGAAAGCCUUCGCACAUCAAUGAAGACCCAGCACAGCCAAAAAUAAAUAAAUAUAGAUUUUAAAAAGGAAUUAUGUGCUUCAGUUUUAACUGCAUCACAUUCUAAAAUUCAUUUCCCAGAUUACCUGGUGGCGGAAAUUCUUGUGAGUCAAAAUAAAAGCCCUGUUCUUCUUAGCACUUAAAUCAUUUUCUGGUGGUGAUUUCUGCUCUGAGAAGCCAGUUCAUCUAAUUUCAGGACUGUUCUGUGCCAGGAAAUAACUUGGGUUAAGGCAAGAACAGAGCCUGUUAUCAGAUAGUAUCACUGGAAGAAUAUACCAGAGAAACGGGUGACAGUAAUUGCCCUUGGACAGGGCAACAUGGGAAACAGGGUUGGAUGUGGCUCUGCCAGGCUUGACAGGAAUCAGUUAGGCUUGAUUCCAGGCUGCUGGUUGAAUUCAAGCCUAUGCCACAUAUUUCCUCAUUCUCCUUGGACCAGUGGCUACCUGGGACAUGUUCUUCUCAUGAAGGGUCACCGGAGUCCAGGAGAGUAAACUGAAACAUAAGAUGCCUCUUGAGAUCUCAGCCUGCAACUGGCACACUUGUCAUUUUGGCCCACAUCUCAUUGACCAAACCAAGUUACAAGGCAAAUGCAUCAUAGGUUGGGGUGAGGGGAGAUGUCCUCUGCCUCCUCUAGUAGGAGACACUGAAAAAUUAUAUGGGGAUGAGAGUUGGAUCACUGGCCAGGGAACUAAGAUCUCACAUGCUGCAGAGCGACUAAGCCUGCCUGCCCAACUAGAGAAGCCUGCUACUGCAACA
Molecule: long non-coding RNA, 1831 nt
Organism: Bos taurus (domestic cattle)
Lineage: Eukaryota; Metazoa; Chordata; Mammalia; Artiodactyla; Bovidae
Source: Ensembl